Long non-coding RNA from Mauremys reevesii (Reeves's turtle), 648 nucleotides. RefSeq lists it as uncharacterized. The transcript has 3 exons. The record is from RefSeq and is a predicted model, not a curated record. NCBI's taxonomy places the organism in Eukaryota, Metazoa, Chordata, Testudines, Geoemydidae.
AUUUUCUGGGAGCAGAAACUGGUGUGACAUCAGUAUUAUACACCUCAGUUUGGAAAGGUUGUGUUCUAAGGAGCCUGCAAAGUUGGUAAGAAUGCAGGUGUGGGGACUGCUCACUGGUUGAAGGCAACGGAAAAGAGAUUUCUUGAAAAUGAACAAACCAGCAUGAAUUUGUGAGCCAUUUCAGUGCUGCUAAAUCUGCAUUUUCCACUGAAAAAAAGGGUUUGGUCAGUUUUCUUUCACAGCUGUAGGAUCAACCUGCAACAGAGAAGACUCCUACAGGAGAUGAGGAGACUGUGUUUCAUCUUCAGUUUGGUGCUGCCAAUGACAUCCAGACUCUGAACCCAAGCUAUUCCCAGCCUGGCACCAGGACCAUCAGCUACACUUCAAAGGAGAUGCACCACAGGCAGCUGCAGGUCUGAGCCACCUGCACGAGGUCAGCAGCCUCUCUUCUCUCCCUGAGAAAGCAUUGAGCUGGCAACCCAGUGGCUCAGCAAGAGGCAGAAGCCGAGCUGGGCUCUUCCUGUAAAGGACUAGAGAGAGGAACAUUCUUCCCUUCAUCAGGCACAUCUUCUCCAGCACAGCCCCUGAUACACAGGCAAAACUGCUGCCCCCUGGCUACUCAACUGUGACAGAAUUAAAAAAAGUGAA